GGGAAUUGACCGUCUGGCCGAUC
RNAcentral lists this non-coding RNA (23 nucleotides) under Arabidopsis thaliana (thale cress). Lineage: Eukaryota; Viridiplantae; Streptophyta; Magnoliopsida; Brassicales; Brassicaceae. The record is from RNAcentral.